This is a long non-coding RNA of Meriones unguiculatus (Mongolian gerbil), 2722 nucleotides long. RefSeq lists it as uncharacterized. The transcript has 2 exons. Lineage: Eukaryota; Metazoa; Chordata; Mammalia; Rodentia; Muridae. The record is from RefSeq and is a predicted model, not a curated record.
CGUAAUGAUUUAUUGUUAAUUGUGCCAUCAUUGCUAAAUAGUAGUGCCUUUAGCUAUGUGUGUACAAUAUAAAUAGAUAACCUAUAUAUGUAUGGAUUUUUAAGAAGUAUAACAAUAAUGGACACAUAUUUGCUUUUUAAAAAAUAUGUUGUGGUAACAGUAAUGUAAAAAAUUUCUUAUCCUACCCUUUUCAGCAUUCAGUUCCUUGCAAUUGAGUACUUUUAUUCUGUUACAUAACCCUUAUCGCCAUCCUUUCUUUUUGUCAUAUAAAAUGGAAAGUCUACCCACUAAAUGGUUAUGUUCUGCCCUUUGCUACCCCCAGCUACUAGCAAUCAGUGUUCUACUCUCUGUCUCUGAUCUUGACUGCUCUAUUACAUAUAAGUAUUUUGUGGUUGGCUUAUUUGGUUUAGUGAAAGUUACCCAGGACUUAUUCAUGUUAAACAUACCACAGAGUUGUCUUCUGUUGUGAAGAUGGAUGAUCCAUGGUGGAUCUGUGUUGCUUUCAUGUUUAGGUCUUGUGAUACUGUGAACGUGGACGAACAGAUAGCUCUUUGAGACCUGGUUUUAGUUAUUUGGUGUUUUAACUUGAAAGUGCUAAUAUGUUAAUUCUAAUUUUAAUAUUUUUGAGGAAUUACCAAACUUUUCCACAGUGGCUGUACCAUUUUUGCCCUUCCCAUCAGCAAUGCACAGAAUUUCAAUUUGUUCUCAUCUUCUCCAUCAGAUGCUUUUUUCAUACAUAAUAACCAUGUUAGUAGAGGUGAGGUAGCAUCUCACUUUAAUUUUGAUUUGCUAAUGAUGUUGAACAUCUUUUAAUGAAAGUUUGUGUAUCCUUCUUGAAAAAAAUGUCUAUUUAACAUUUCUCUUAAAGGUAUUUUUAACCUGAACAUGCAUUUUUAUUUUAAUAUUGGUAUAUGUAUGGAUGUGGGACUUUAUGGAAUAUACAGCAAGUAUUAAAUGGUAUUUUGAUGAAUGUCUUUUUACUAUGCUCAGACUGAACCUAUUGUCUUACAUAUGUUAGACAAGUGGUCCACCACAGUCUUUAGUGUUUAAAGUAAGGUCCCAAUAGCUUCUUGAUCUUGCUGCCUCUGCCUCCCAAGUCCUGGGAUUGCAGGCUUGUUCCAUCAUGUCUGGCUUUAGUGAGUUUAACAGAAUUUAAUCCCAAAAGGUAGGCAGGUUCACUUUUGUUUAUUAGAUAUUAUUUAUUGGUGCAGAAUAAUUUUGCUACAGUUGUCUUUGUAUAAUCUCAGGGUUGCUACUUAAACCAAACAACCUCUUUGCCUCUGUUUCUUCAUUUGGAAAUAAAAAUAAUUAAAAGAACAAAUGAGGUGGUACAUUUAAACAGCCCCCCAAAAAUAGUUUGACCCUUAUGAUCAUUUGUUCACAUUAAUGGUCUCAGGAUUUUAGUUGUUAAUUUUUGCAACUGUAGGGCUGUUGCUUUUUUGUGUAAUUGAUAUUUAUCCAAUUAUCUAACUGUUUGGAACUAUUUUUUUAGGAACUUUUUUGGAGAAAGUGGUUGUCCUUUCUCCUUUAUAAUGAGCAUUUUUAGUAAUCUGUCUUCAAAGUAGUACUCAUUUACAUACACUGCAGACACCUUUUCAAAUGGUUUCAUUUCUUCUGUCCAUAGUGAUAGUGUUAUCUUUGAUUUCACUUUUCUGUAUAUUGUGAUUACUUAACGUAUUGCUGUUAUUUUUUUUUAGAUCAAAAACAGGAAAAGUAAUGUUCUUUUUUAGCCUUAAUGUGUUCUUUCCAUGAUGCUCUUCAUUUCUUCGUACAGGCCUGGAGUGCUUCUUGCCUCAGCCUCCUGAGGGCUUCGGAUUACAGGCCUGCACCAUCACAUGCGGUGCCAACUUUAUCAAAUACUGUUGAUUCACUUUAAAACUCUUUUUACUGAUACAAAGGACCUGGCUUAAAAAGAAUAGAGGUUUGUCUAUAAGUACUCUUUCUUGUUUCAUUGAUAUAUUUUAUAGUAAUGAAAUAUUUAUUCAAAAUUGUAAUUAAAUUUACCUUAAAAAUUUUUCACAAUGCACUAAAAAAAACUAGGCUAUUUCAUAAAUAUGCACAUCAUCACUAAUUAGAAUGGUCUUUGGGUAAAUGACAAGUAAUCCUGUACUGUGUAGAUAAUAUGCACAGUGCUGAUUACCUUGUCAACCACUGAACAAGCACUUAUUGCCAUUGUGGUUCUUGAUGAGAACUGUACUAGCUGUUUUUGUGUUGUUGUUUUGUUUUGUUUUGUGGUUUGUUUGUUUGUUUGUUUUUUUGCAGUGCUGGGGUGAAACCCAGUGCCUUGCACAUAUCAGGCAAGUGUUGCCUGUUUGACCUAAGUUGCCAGACUCUGUUGCAUUUUUAGUGUAUCUUCUUUUUCAUGUGAAUUCUGUAGUACAUAGAAUUUUGUGGGGGGAAAAAACCUUUUAUAAUUUUAAUUGGGGUUCUAUUUAAUUUCAAAUUAAUUUGUGGAGAAUUAACAAAUUUAAAAGCAACAAGUUUUCCCAUCAGGGAACACUGUGUAUUGCUGAUAUUUGAAAUAUAUCAAACAAAGCUAUGAGAGAAUACAGUACAGUUGACCCUUGGUCAACAUAAGUUUGAACUAUACAUGUCCAUUUAUAAAUGGAUAUAUAAAUUAAGAAAAUGUUUCAUAUGUCACAUGCAUGUACAUGUAUAUCAUAGUUCAUUUUACCAUUGGUUCUGUUUUUCUGUACACAUAAAUACAGUUUUAAAAGUUAAA